UACGUAGGGGGCAAGCGUUGUCCGGAUUUAUUGGGCGUAAAGAGCGUGUAGGCGGCUAGGUAGGUCCGUUGUGAAAACUCGAGGCUCAACCUCGAGACGCCGAUGGAAACCAUCUGGCUAGAGUCCGGAAGAGGAGAGUGGAAUUCCUGGUGUAGCGGUGAAAUGCGUAGAUAUCGGGAGGAACACCAGUGGCGAAGGCGACUUCCUGGCCUGUUCUUGACGCUGAGGCGCGAAAGCUAGGGUAGCAAACGGG
This 253-nucleotide ribosomal RNA is filed under the name uncultured bacterium. Its description in RNAcentral is "partial 16S ribosomal RNA". It matches the Rfam family "Bacterial small subunit ribosomal RNA", at positions 524 to 776 of the family's 1533-position model. The record is from RNAcentral.